GACGAACGCUGGCGGUGUGCCUCAUACAUGCAAGUCGAACGAUAAGGUUCCUUCGGGAAUACAUAAGUGGCGGACGGGUGAGUACAAUGUAGGAAAUCUGCCUUAGGGUGGGGGACAACAGAGGGAAACUCCUGCUAAUACCCCAUAUGAGGUGAGUUGAAAUACUUAUCUUGAAAACUCCGGUGCUCAAGGAUGAGUCUGCAUCUGAUUAGCUAGUUGGUGGUGUAAUGGACCACCAAGGCGAUGAUCAGUAGCUGGUUUGAGAGGAUGAUCAGCCACAAUGGGACUGAGACAUGGCCCAU
This 302-nucleotide ribosomal RNA is filed under the name uncultured bacterium. RNAcentral describes it as "bacterial SSU rRNA". It matches the Rfam family "Bacterial small subunit ribosomal RNA", at positions 28 to 334 of the family's 1533-position model. The record is from RNAcentral.